AAACCUGAAAAUCCUGCAUGAAGACACGAAUAUGUAUGUAUACAACUUCGACGCAUUUUUGCAUUUGGUCUACUUCAGUGUGCGGGACUGCUGAUUAGUUCUUGUUUCCAGCCAUCUGGCUGUGCGGCGAACUGCCAGCUCCUUCUGGCGACGAUUAUAGCUCUUUCUUUUACUUAUGAACAGGAGUCCUGCAGUAAGUACCAUUCCUCCUACAGCCCAAGAAACCCUUUCGGCUAUUGGCAUUUCUCUUGCCCAUUGCUGAAAAUCCUCAAGCACACUAAUCGUAUCGCCCUUAACAGGUGAACCAGAUUGCG
This 314-nucleotide unclassified non-coding RNA is filed under the name Hevea brasiliensis (rubber tree). Lineage: Eukaryota; Viridiplantae; Streptophyta; Magnoliopsida; Malpighiales; Euphorbiaceae. The record is from RNAcentral.